Molecule: long non-coding RNA, 232 nt
Filed under: Lathyrus oleraceus (garden pea)
Lineage: Eukaryota; Viridiplantae; Streptophyta; Magnoliopsida; Fabales; Fabaceae
Description: Pisum sativum (pea) long non-coding RNA (PSAT_LNC001572)
Source: RNAcentral
UUUUUUUUUUUUCGGAUCUAAUUCUGAUUGACAUGAUGAAAUGCAAUAUGAAAUGCUAAAUGAAUGCAUGAAUGAGGAGGGAAAAUUUUGGGGUGUUACAGCCCGUAGACAUUUAUCCUGUUAUGCAGGAUGAGCAAAUUCCAUCUAGGUCACUCAUGUCCCUCAGCAUGCUUCGUGGAGUACCCAUAAACUGUCUUUAUGGUCAUCCAAUUACGGACAAUGUUUGAUUAGC